UGCCCCGGGUGAGGAUCGAACUCACGACCUUCAGAUUGCUCCUUACAGAGAUUAUGAGACUGACGCGCUGCCUACUGCGCUACCGAGGC
RNAcentral lists this transfer RNA (89 nucleotides) under Araneus ventricosus. RNAcentral's name for it is "tRNA-Met". Lineage: Eukaryota; Metazoa; Arthropoda; Arachnida; Araneae; Araneidae. The record is from RNAcentral.